This 751-nucleotide ribosomal RNA is filed under the name Niallia circulans. RNAcentral's name for it is "bacterial SSU rRNA". It matches the Rfam family "Bacterial small subunit ribosomal RNA", at positions 22 to 754 of the family's 1533-position model. The record is from RNAcentral. Lineage: Bacteria; Bacillati; Bacillota; Bacilli; Caryophanales; Bacillaceae.
GCUCAGGACGAACGCUGGCGGCGUGCCUAAUACAUGCAAGUCGAGCGGACAGAAAGGGAGCUUGCUCCCGGAUGUUAGCGGCGGACGGGUGAGUAACACGUGGGUAACCUGCCUGUAAGACUGGGAUAACUCCGGGAAACCGGAGCUAAUACCGGAUAGUUCCUUGAACCGCAUGGUUCAAGGAUGAAAGACGGUUUCGGCUGUCACUUACAGAUGGACCCGCGGCGCAUUUAGCUAGUUGGUGGGGUAAUGGCUCACCAAGGCGACGAUGCGUAGCCGACCUGAGAGGGUGAUCGGCCACACUGGGACUGAGACACGGCCCAGACUCCUACGGGAGGCAGCAGUAGGGAAUCUUCCGCAAUGGACGAAAGUCUGACGGAGCAACGCCGCGUGAGUGAUGAAGGUUUUCGGAUCGUAAAGCUCUGUUGUUAGGGAAGAACAAGUGCGAGAGUAACUGCUCGCACCUUGACGGUACCUAACCAGAAAGCCACGGCUAACUACGUGCCAGCAGCCGCGGUAAUACGUAGGUGGCAAGCGUUGUCCGGAAUUAUUGGGCGUAAAGGGCUCGCAGGCGGUUUCUUAAGUCUGAUGUGAAAGCCCCCGGCUCAACCGGGGAGGGUCAUUGGAAACUGGGAAACUUGAGUGCAGAAGAGGAGAGUGGAAUUCCACGUGUAGCGGUGAAAUGCGUAGAGAUGUGGAGGAACACCAGUGGCGAAGGCGACUCUCUGGUCUGUAACUGACGCUGAGGAGC